RNAcentral lists this ribosomal RNA (492 nucleotides) under uncultured bacterium. RNAcentral's name for it is "partial 16S ribosomal RNA". It matches the Rfam family "Bacterial small subunit ribosomal RNA", at positions 29 to 507 of the family's 1533-position model. The record is from RNAcentral.
AGUGAACGCUGGCGGUAGGCCUAACACAUGCAAGUCGAACGGCAGCACAGUAAGAGCUUGCUCUUACGGGUGGCGAGUGGCGGACGGGUGAGGAAUACAUCGGAAUCUACUUUUUCGUGGGGGAUAACGUAGGGAAACUUACGCUCAUACCGCAUACGACCUACGGGUGAAAGCAGGGGAUCUUCGGACCUUGCGCGAUUGAAUGAGCCGAUGUCGGAUUAGCUAGUUGGCGGGGUGAAGGCCCACCAAGGCGACGAUCCGUAGCUGGUCUGAGAGGAUGAUCGGCCACAUGAGAGCGGAGACACGGUCCAUGCUCCUGAGGGAGGCAGCAGUGGGGAAUAUUGGACAAUGGGCGCAAGCCUGAUCCAGCCAUACCGCGUGGGUGAAGAAGGCCUUCGGGUUGUAAAGACCUUUUGUUGGGAAAGAAAAGCAGCAGGUUAAUACCCCGCUGUUCUGACGGUACCCAAAGAAUAAGCACCGGCUAACUUCGUG